UACGUAGGGGGCAAGCGUUGUCCGGAUUUACUGGGCGUAAAGAGCGUGUAGGCGGCCACGCAGGUCCGUUGUGAAAACUGGAGGCUCAACCUCGAGAGGUCGGUGGAAACCAUCUGGCUAGAGUCCGGAAGAGGAGAGUGGAAUUCCCGGUGUAGCGGUGAAAUGCGCAGAUAUCGGGAAGAACACCCGUGGCGAAGGCGGCUCUCUGGGACGGUACUGACGCUGAGACGCGAAAGCGUGGGGAGCGAACAGG
RNAcentral lists this ribosomal RNA (253 nucleotides) under uncultured bacterium. Its description in RNAcentral is "partial 16S ribosomal RNA". It matches the Rfam family "Bacterial small subunit ribosomal RNA", at positions 524 to 776 of the family's 1533-position model. The record is from RNAcentral.